RNAcentral lists this unclassified non-coding RNA (215 nucleotides) under uncultured Ascomycota. RNAcentral describes it as "sequence contains ITS1". The record is from RNAcentral. Lineage: Eukaryota; Fungi; Ascomycota.
CCGUGGCACGUGGGAGACGAGACAAACAUCAAUUUGGACGCGCGCGCGGCCAAAUUGUUGGCAUAGUCUCUUACAACCCAAACCCCCCAUCCUUGCCUAACACGCACCGUUUGUUUCCUCGGCGGGCCCGCCCGCCGCAGGACCCCCCUUUGAAACGCUUUUGCAAAACCACGCAGUCGUUCGUCUGAGCGGAGUUUUUAUUCGCAAUCAAAUCA